Molecule: ribosomal RNA, 389 nt
Filed under: Draconarius sp. ZZ463
Lineage: Eukaryota; Metazoa; Arthropoda; Arachnida; Araneae; Agelenidae
Description: partial 16S ribosomal RNA
Source: RNAcentral
CUCAAUGUAAUUCAAUAGCCGCAAUAACUUUGUGCUAAGGUAGUAUAAUCAUUUGUCUUUUAAUUAAAGAAUAAAACGAAAGAUUCAACAUUUUUAUUCCUUUCUUAUAUAUUUUAUUUAAUUUAUUUUAAAUGUAAAAAAACAUUUAUAUUAAAAGAAGACGAUAAGACCCUAUUGAACUUAACUAAAGUUAAACUGGGGUAGUUAAUUAAAUAAAAUUUUAAUUUCAAAUCUAAAAACAACCUAAUACAAUUAAAUAAUCAAGUUACCAUAGGGAUAACAGCGCAAUAAUUUUCCAAAGAUCAUAUUCAAAAAUUUGUUUACGACCUCGAUGUUGAAUUAAUAAUCUAUCAAAUGCAAUAAUCUGAUAAUGAAAGUCUGUUCGACUU